RNAcentral lists this unclassified non-coding RNA (257 nucleotides) under Borreliella garinii. Its description in RNAcentral is "partial 5S-23S ribosomal RNA intergenic spacer". The record is from RNAcentral. Lineage: Bacteria; Pseudomonadati; Spirochaetota; Spirochaetia; Spirochaetales; Borreliaceae.
UGCGAGUUCGCGGGAGAGUAAGUUAUUGCCAGGGUUUUUAUUUUAUACUUUAAACAUUGAUUUUAUUUUUUAUGUUUUUAGAUGUUUAUAUUAUUUGAAUAAAACAUUCAAAUAAUAUAAAAAAUAAAAUAUAUAUAUUGACAUGGAUUAAACAAAGAUAUAUAUUAUUCUAUGUUGUAUAAACAAAUUGGCAAAAUAGAGACGGAAGGUAAAAAUAUGGUCAAAGUAAUAAGAGUCUAUGGUGAAUGCCUAGGAGC